RNAcentral lists this ribosomal RNA (253 nucleotides) under uncultured bacterium. RNAcentral describes it as "partial 16S ribosomal RNA". It matches the Rfam family "Bacterial small subunit ribosomal RNA", at positions 524 to 776 of the family's 1533-position model. The record is from RNAcentral.
UACAGAGGUGGCAAGCGUUGUUCGGAUUUAUUGGGCGUAAAGGGUCCGUAGGCGGUUCGGAAAGUCGGGUGUGAAAUCCCACGGCUCAACCGUGGAACUGCAUUCGAAACUUCCGGACUAGAGUGUGAGAGGGGUGAAGGGAAUUCCCGGUGUAAGGGUGAAAUCUGCAGAGAUCGGGAAGAACACCAGUCGCGAAGGCGCUUCACUGGCUCACAACUGACGCUGAGGGACGAAAGCUAGGGGAGCAAACGGG